RNAcentral lists this ribosomal RNA (579 nucleotides) under uncultured bacterium. RNAcentral's name for it is "bacterial SSU rRNA". It matches the Rfam family "Bacterial small subunit ribosomal RNA", at positions 338 to 917 of the family's 1533-position model. The record is from RNAcentral.
CCUACGGGAGGCAGCAGUAAGGAAUAUUGGUCAAUGGACGCAAGUCUGAACCAGCCAUGCCGCGUGAAGGAUGACGGCCCUCUGGGUUGUAAACUUCUUUUAUCUGGGACGAAAAAAGGAAACUCUUUUCCACUUGACGGUACCAGAGGAAUAAGCACCGGCUAACUCCGUGCCAGCAGCCGCGGUAAUACGGAGGGUGCAAGCGUUAUCCGGAUUUACUGGGUUUAAAGGGUGCGUAGGUGGGUCUGUAAGUCCGUGGUGAAAUCUCCGAGCUUAACUUGGAAACUGCCAUGGAUACUAUAGGUCUUGAAUAUUGUGGAGGUCAGCGGAAUAUGUCAUGUAGCGGUGAAAUGCUUAGAUAUGACAUAGAACACCAAUUGCGAAGGCAGCUGGCUACGCAUAUAUUGACACUGAGGCACGAAAGCGUGGGGAUCAAACAGGAUUAGAUACCCUGGUAGUCCACGCCCUAAACUAUGGAUACUCGACAUACGCGAUACACAGUGUGUGUCUGAGCGAAAGCAUUAAGUAUCCCACCUGGGAAGUACGAUCGCAUGAUUGAAACUCAAAGGAAUUGACGGA